GCAGAGAUGCUUUGGUGCCUUCGGGAACUCUGAGACAGGUGCUGCAUGGCUGUCGUCAGCUCGUGUUGUGAAAUGUUGGGUUAAGUCCCGCAACGAGCGCAACCCUUAUCCUUUGUUGCCAGCGGUUCGGCCGGGAACUCAAAGGAGACUGCCAGUGAUAAACUGGAGGAAGGUGGGGAUGACGUCAAGUCAUCAUGGCCCUUACGAGUAGGGCUACACACGUGCUACAAUGGCAUAUACAAAGAGAAGCGACCUCGCGAGAGCAAGCGGACCUCAUAAAGUAUGUCGUAGUCCGGAUUGGAGUCUGCAACUCGACUCCAUGAAGUCGGAAUCGCUAGUAAUCGUGGAUCAGAAUGCCACGGUGAAUACGUUCCCGGGCCUUGUACACACCGCCCGUCACACCAUGGGAGUGGGUUGCAAAAGAAGUAGGUAGCUUAACCUUCGGGAGGGCGCUUACCACUUUGUGAUUCAUGACUGGGGUGAAGUCGUAACAAGGUAACCGUAGGGGAACCUGCGGUUGGAUCACCUCCUUA
This 533-nucleotide ribosomal RNA is filed under the name Citrobacter portucalensis. Its description in RNAcentral is "bacterial SSU rRNA". It matches the Rfam family "Bacterial small subunit ribosomal RNA", at positions 1000 to 1533 of the family's 1533-position model. Lineage: Bacteria; Pseudomonadati; Pseudomonadota; Gammaproteobacteria; Enterobacterales; Enterobacteriaceae. RNAcentral also lists the same sequence under 1 other name. The record is from RNAcentral.